RNAcentral lists this ribosomal RNA (547 nucleotides) under Diaspidiotus aesculi. RNAcentral's name for it is "eukaryotic LSU rRNA". The record is from RNAcentral. Lineage: Eukaryota; Metazoa; Arthropoda; Insecta; Hemiptera; Diaspididae.
AUCUGGGCGGCGGAAUUCAGGAUGGCCGGCAUGCUCUCGCGGUGUGUCGGUCGUUUGAUAUUUCCGUCGCCAGCAAACCGCAGACGUCGCGACCUGUUCGCGGUCGGUCCCUGCUCGGAGGAGCCACGUUCGAGCUCGUUGUGUGCGUGUUUCGGCGCGUCACACGGCGAAGGCGUGGAUCUCUGGCUGGCCGUCGGACAGUAUGCUUAGCGGUGUCCGGUGUCGUCGUCUCGUACGCGCGGCAUCGGUACCGGUCAGCGACGAAUUCUUCGGGCCUCUUUCCGACCCGUCUUGAAACACGGACCAAGGAGUCUAACAUGCGCGCGAGUCGCGGGGUAUCGAGCGUACUUCGGUGCGUUCGUUAUGUUGCGAAACCCGUACAUGUCGAAGGCGUAAUGAAAGUGAAUGGGGAAGAUGGUGUUCCGAGUUCACGUUCCGCGAUCGUCGGUAUCGCGGCCGGACACCCGCAUUCCCGGGGCGUCUCAACGGCCCGUCGUUGAUGCGGACAGUCGUCUUUCGGGGCGGCUGUCGGUCGGCGACGAACCGA